RNAcentral lists this ribosomal RNA (465 nucleotides) under uncultured bacterium. Its description in RNAcentral is "bacterial SSU rRNA". It matches the Rfam family "Bacterial small subunit ribosomal RNA", at positions 338 to 795 of the family's 1533-position model. The record is from RNAcentral.
CCUACGGGAUGCAGCAGUGGGGAAUAUUGCACAAUGGGCGCAAGCCUGAUGCAGCCAUGCCGCGUGUGUGAAGAAGGCCUUCGGGUUGUAAAGCACUUUCAGCGGGGAGGAAGGCGGUGAGGUUAAUAACCUCACCGAUUGACGCUACCCGCAGAAGAAGCACCGGCUAACUCCGUGCCAGCAGCCGCGGUAAUACGGAGGGUGCAAGCGUUAAUCGGAAUUACUGGGCGUAAAGCGCACGCAGGCGGUCUGUCAAGUCGGAUGUGAAAUCCCCGGGCUCAACCUGGGAACUGCAUUCGAAACUGGCAGGCUAGAGUCUUGUAGAGGGGGGUAGAAUUCCAGGUGUAGCGGUGAAAUGCGUAGAGAUCUGGAGGAAUACCGGUGGCGAAGGCGGCCCCCUGGACAAAGACUGACGCUCAGGUGCGAAAGCGUGGGGAGCAAACAGGAUUAGAUACCCCCGUAGUC